RNAcentral lists this ribosomal RNA (122 nucleotides) under Nelumbo nucifera (sacred lotus). Lineage: Eukaryota; Viridiplantae; Streptophyta; Magnoliopsida; Proteales; Nelumbonaceae. The record is from RNAcentral.
GGGUGCGAUCAUACUGGUACUAAUGCAUUGGAUCCCAUUAGAACUCUGAAGUUAAGUGUGCUUGGGUGACAGUAGUACUAGGAUGGGUGACCACCUCCUGGGAAGUCUUUGUGUUGCACCUU